CCUACGGGAGGCAGCAGUGGGGAAUUUUGGACAAUGGGCGAAAGCCUGAUCCAGCAAUGCCGCGUGCAGGAAGAAGGCCUUCGGGUUGUAAACUGCUUUUGUACGGAACGAAACGGUCUGCUUUAAUACAGUGGGCUAAUGACGGUACCGUAAGAAUAAGCACCGGCUAACUACGUGCCAGCAGCCGCGGUAAUACGUAGGGUGCGAGCGUUAAUCGGAAUUACUGGGCGUAAAGCGUGCGCAGGCGGUUAUAUAAGACAGUUGUGAAAUCCCCGGGCUCAACCUGGGAAUUGCAUCUGUGACUGUAUAGCUAGAGUACGGUAGAGGGGGAUGGAAUUCCGCGUGUGGCAGUGAAAUGCGUAGAUAUGCGGAGGAACACCGAUGGCGAAGGCAAUCCCCUGGACCUGUACUGACGCUCAUGCACGAAAGCGUGGGGAGCAAACAGGAUUAGAUACCCUGGUAGUCCACGCCCUAAACGAUGUCAACUGGUUGUUGGGUGCAUUAGUACUCAGUAACGAAGCUAACGCGUGAAGUUGACCGCCUGGGGAGUCGGCCGCAAGGUUGAAACUCAAAGGAUUGACGGCNGAGAGNGCGACGACGACGACGAGGGAGGAGG
Molecule: ribosomal RNA, 616 nt
Filed under: uncultured bacterium
Lineage: Bacteria
Description: bacterial SSU rRNA
Rfam family: Bacterial small subunit ribosomal RNA
Source: RNAcentral